AUCAAUAAGCGGAGGAAAAGAAAUCAAAUGAGAUUUCCGUAGUAGCUGCGAGUGAACUGGAAUCAAGCCUAUCGCCAAUUCUUAUGUUUCGUACAAUAAGAGAUGAGGCGUAAAGGAAUUUCGUGUUGAACGGAUGCACAACCUAAAUAUUAUCGAGUGAGUUCUCAGAGAAGGUGAAAAGCCUGUUUGGUUGUGUCUGUCUGUGAAAUCGGAGUUCUUACGAGUCUAGUUGUUUGAGAGUACAACUUAAAGUUGGUGGUAAAUUUCAUCAAAGGCUAAAUAUAUGAGGGGACUAAUAGCGAACAAGUACCAUGAGGGAAAGUUGAAAAGAACUCUGACGAGAGAGUUCAACAGUGCGUGAAACCAUAUUGAGUAAAACAGAUAACUGUGUCGUUAUGCGGUGUGUCUAUCAACAGUAUAUCGGGUGUUGCGAUGCGGCGAGUGUGAGCUGUUUAUUCAGACGAUCGCUCGCUGUCAGCAUAACUCGAGGUUCUGUGUACUAGUGCACAUCCAAUCAUUGAGAAACUAUGCUACUGCGGCAUCGGCGUACUUCAGCCCCCGCCUAGCGGGAAGUUGUAUGCUGGGCUCAGCUGGCGGCGUAGUUCAGUUGUGUGACAACUGUGGGAUGCGUUCGGUGAAUGUGCCUGCUUUAUCUGCGGAUCGGUUUAUUCCUUUUUGCGGUGAGUAUGGUGCAGUAGGCGAGCGUCUCGCCAUCAAUGAUUGACAUU
RNAcentral lists this ribosomal RNA (728 nucleotides) under Amblyseius tsugawai. RNAcentral's name for it is "eukaryotic LSU rRNA". It matches the Rfam family "Eukaryotic large subunit ribosomal RNA", at positions 42 to 617 of the family's 3401-position model. Lineage: Eukaryota; Metazoa; Arthropoda; Arachnida; Mesostigmata; Phytoseiidae. The record is from RNAcentral.